GCCUGGGUGGUGAAACGGUAUACACGCAGCUCUCAAAAAGCUGUGACCCUUUAAAGGUCAUGAGGGUCCAAAUCCCUCUCCAGGCA
RNAcentral lists this transfer RNA (86 nucleotides) under Candidatus Woesebacteria bacterium RIFOXYA1_FULL_43_9. Its description in RNAcentral is "tRNA-Leu". It matches the Rfam family "tRNA". From Rfam's summary of the family: Transfer RNA (tRNA) molecules are approximately 80 nucleotides in length. Their secondary structure includes four short double-helical elements and three loops (D, anti-codon, and T loops). The record is from RNAcentral. Lineage: Bacteria; Candidatus Woeseibacteriota.